This 129-nucleotide microRNA precursor is filed under the name Leersia perrieri. RNAcentral describes it as "pre miRNA mir-166". It matches the Rfam family "mir-166 microRNA precursor family". Rfam says of the family: This family represents the plant microRNA (miRNA) precursor mir-166. Animal miRNAs are transcribed as ~70nt precursors and subsequently processed by the Dicer enzyme to give a ~22nt product. In plants the precursor sequences may be longer, and the carpel factory (caf) enzyme appears to be involved in processing. Lineage: Eukaryota; Viridiplantae; Streptophyta; Magnoliopsida; Poales; Poaceae. The record is from Rfam by way of RNAcentral.
GGUGUCUGGAAUGGAGGCUGAUCCAAGAUCCUUUGGUGCAAAAUACUAGGGCAUUGUAGUAAGUGCCGUUGGUUUUUUGUUUCGGAGUUUGUUAUCGAGGAUCUCGGACCAGGCUUCAUUCCUCACACC